CCUACGGGUGGCAGCAGUGAGGAAUAUUGGUCAAUGGACGAGAGUCUGAACCAGCCAAGUAGCGUGAAGGAUGACUGCCCUAUGGGUUGUAAACUUCUUUUAUAUGGGAAUAAAAUGUUCCACGUGUGGGAUUUUGUAUGUACCAUAUGAAUAAGGAUCGGCUAACUCCGUGCCAGCAGCCGCGGUACUACGGAGGAUCCGAGCGUUAUCCGGAUUUAUUGGGUUUAAAGGGAGCGUAGGUGGAUUGUUAAGUCAGUUGGGAAAGUUUGCGGCUCAACCGGAAAAUUGCAGUUGAAACUGGCAGUCUUGAGUACAGUAGAGGUGGGCGGAAUUCGUGGUGUAGCGGUGAAAUGCUUAGAUAUCACGAAGAACUCCGAUUGCGAAGGCAGCUCACUGGACUGCAACCGACACUGAGGCUCGAAAGUGUGGGUAUCAAACAGGAGUAGAUACCCCAGUAGGC
RNAcentral lists this ribosomal RNA (460 nucleotides) under uncultured bacterium. RNAcentral's name for it is "partial 16S ribosomal RNA". It matches the Rfam family "Bacterial small subunit ribosomal RNA", at positions 338 to 795 of the family's 1533-position model. The record is from RNAcentral.